GAUUAACGCUGGCGGCGUGCCUAACACAUGCAAGUCGAGCGGCAGCGAGUUUUACACUGAAUUCUGGAAGCUUCUAGUUGAAAGAGAAGAUUUAUUCAAGAAUUUUGUGUAAAAUGUCGGCGAGCGGCGGACGGCUGAGUAACGCGUGGGAACGUACCCCAAAGUGAGGGAUAACGCAUCGAAAGGUGUGCUAAUACCGCAUAUGGUCUUCGGAUUAAAGCCCUCGGGCGCUUUGGGAACGGCCUGCGUAAGAUUAGAUAGUUGGUGGGGUAAUGGCCUACCAAGUCGACGAUCUUUAACUGGUUUGAGAGGAUGAUCAGUCAGACUGGAACUGAGACACGGUCCAGACUCCUACGGGAGGCAGCAGUGAGGAAUCUUCCACAAUGGGCGAAAGCCUGAUGGAGCAACGCCGCGUGCAGGAUGAAGGCCUUCGGGUUGUAAACUGCUUUUAUAAGUGAGGAUUAUGACAGUAACUUAUGAAUAAGGAUCGGCUAACUACGUG
Molecule: ribosomal RNA, 502 nt
Filed under: uncultured bacterium
Lineage: Bacteria
Description: partial 16S ribosomal RNA
Rfam family: Bacterial small subunit ribosomal RNA
Source: RNAcentral